Molecule: non-coding RNA, 970 nt
Organism: Aegilops tauschii subsp. strangulata
Lineage: Eukaryota; Viridiplantae; Streptophyta; Magnoliopsida; Poales; Poaceae
Source: RefSeq, a predicted model, not a curated record
UUCUACUACGCAAAGAGCAAUUCUUUUUUUAGACAUGGCAUAUGCAGUUCGCAUAAUGAUUCUUAUGUGCUUGGCUCAUAUGCAGCAUGAUCAUUCAGUACAGAAAUGUGAAUGUUCUUUAUUAGGCUUUAGUUGCAUUUUUGUGCUCAUUAGCAGUUGUGACUGACAAUGGUGAAUGUGAUAAUUAAUCUUCCCUUGAGUGGUGGGUAAGAGUGGUAUUAUUUUCUUAACCAUUCACCAAUAAAAAAUAUAUAUAACGUUGCCCCUGAAACCAAGUUGCUACUAUCCAAGUUUAAUACGGAUGUAUCACCUUGUUUAUGUCUGUUCCUAUUGAUAAACUGCAUGUAAGUUAUUUCAGUAACCUACUUUCUCACAUUAGAAAUAGACUCAGACAAGCUGUUAAUUUGUAAACUUCUUUACUUUGUUGCAUAUAAAAGGUCCAUCAUUCGUUUUGGAGGGUGGUAAUUUUCUACACCUAAGUCCACAUCAUCUAUUUUUAUCUCAUGCGGAAACACUGCACCUUUUGUGCCCUCUCUCGAACAUAAUUGACUGAAGCUUUGGUAUAGCGUUUUACUUACAGUAUUUCUACUUUCCUUGUUUGCUUACAAGCUGUUUUUUCUUUUUGACUCUGAUGAAUCCCCCAGGCCAUUUUUAAGAACCCGUUCAGGAGGGGUGACAACCUCCUUGUUAUGUGCGACUGCUACACACCACAAGGUGUUCCAAUCCCCACCAACAAGAGGCACAAUGCUGCCAAGAUCUUCAACACCUCGAAGGUUGCAGCUGAGGAGAGAUGGUAUGGAAUUGAGCAGGAGUACACUCUCCUCCAGAAGGAUGUGAACUGGCCCCUUGGCUGGCCCGUUGGUGGCUACCCUGGUCCUCAGGCAAGAAAACUCUCAGCAUGCUCUCCAGCUUUCCGUGUGUUAAACUUACAUAAAAACUGAACAUUGCAUUUCACCAAGUGAAAUGCUCC